AUAAGUGCAUCAGGCGGAUGCCUUGGCGAUGAUAGGCGACGAAGGACGUGUAAGCCUGCGAAAAGCGCGGGGGAGCUGGCAAUAAAGCUAUGAUUCCGCGAUGUCCGAAUGGGGAAACCCACUGCAUUCUGUGCAGUAUCCUAAGUUGAAUACAUAGGCUUAGAGAAGCGAACCCGGAGAACUGAACCAUCUAAGUACCCGGAGGAAAAGAAAUCAACCGAGAUUCCGCAAGUAGUGGCGAGCGAACGCGGAGGAGCCUGUACGUAAUAACUGUCGAGAUAGAAGAACAAGCUGGGAAGCUUGACCAUAGCGGGUGACAGUCCCGUAUUCGAAAUCUCAACAGCGGUACUAAGCGUACGAAAAGUAGGGCGGGACACGUGAAAUCCUGUCUGAAUAUGGGGGGACCAUCCUCCAAGGCUAAAUACUCAUCAUCGACCGAUAGUGAACCAGUACCGUGAGGGAAAGGCGAAAAGAACCCCGGGAGGGGAGUGAAACAGAACCUGAAACCUGAUGCAUACAAACAGUGGGAGCGCCCUAGUGGUGUGACUGCGUACCUUUUGUAUAAUGGGUCAACGACUUACAUUCAGUAGCGAGCUUAACCGGAUAGGGGAGGCGUAGGGAAACCGAGUCUUAAUAGGGCGAUGAGUUGCUGGGUGUAGACCCGAAACCGAGUGAUCUAUCCAUGGUCAGGUUGAAGGUGCCGUAACAGGUACUGGAGGACCGAACCCACGCAUGUUGCAAAAUGCGGGGAUGAGCUGUGGGUAGGGGUGAAAGGCUAAACAAACUCGGAGAUAGCUGGUUCUCCCCGAAAACUAUUUAGGUAGUGCCUCGAGCAAGACACUGAUGGGGGUAAAGCACUGUUAUGGCUAGGGGGUUAUUGCAACUUACCAACCCAUGGCAAACUCAGAAUACCAUCAAGUGGUUCCUCGGGAGACAGACAGCGGGUGCUAACGUCCGUUGUCAAGAGGGAAACAACCCAGACCGUCGGCUAAGGUCCCAAAUGAUAGAUUAAGUGGUAAACGAAGUGGGAAGGCACAGACAGCCAGGAUGUUGGCUUAGAAGCAGCCAUCAUUUAAAGAAAGCGUAAUAGCUCACUGGUCGAGUCGUCCUGCGCGGAAGAUGUAACGGGGCUCAAAUCUAUAACCGAAGCUGCGGAUGCCGGUUUACCGGCAUGGUAGGGGAGCGUUCUGUAGGCUGAUGAAGGUGCAUUGUAAAGUGUGCUGGAGGUAUCAGAAGUGCGAAUGUUGACAUGAGUAGCGAUAAAGCGGGUGAAAAGCCCGCUCGCCGAAAGCCCAAGGUUUCCUACGCAACGUUCAUCGGCGUAGGGUAAGUCGGCCCCUAAGGCGAGGCAGAAAUGCGUAGUCGAUGGGAAACAGGUUAAUAUUCCUGUACUUGAUUCAAAUGCGAUGUGGGGACGGAGAAGGUUAGGUUGGCAAGCUGUUGGAAUAGCUUGUUUAAGCCGGUAGGUGGAAGACUUAGGCAAAUCCGGGUUUUCUUAACACCGAGAAGUGAUGACGAGUGUCUACGGACACGAAGCAACCGAUACCACGCUUCCAGGAAAAGCCACUAAGCUUCAGUUUGAAUCGAACCGUACCGCAAACCGACACAGGUGGGCAGGAUGAGAAUUCUAAGGCGCUUGAGAGAACUCGGGAGAAGGAACUCGGCAAAUUGAUACCGUAACUUCGGGAGAAGGUAUGCCCUCUAAGGUUAAGGACUUGCUCCGUAAGCCCCGGAGGGUCGCAGAGAAUAGGUGGCUGCGACUGUUUAUUAAAAACACAGCACUCUGCCAACACGAAAGUGGACGUAUAGGGUGUGACGCCUGCCCGGUGCCGGAAGGUUAAUUGAAGAUGUGCAAGCAUCGGAUCGAAGCCCCGGUAAACGGCGGCCGUAACUAUAACGGUCCUAAGGUAGCGAAAUUCCUUGUCGGGUAAGUUCCGACCCGCACGAAUGGCGUAACGAUGGCCACACUGUCUCCUCCCGAGACUCAGCGAAGUUGAAGUGGUUGUGAAGAUGCAAUCUACCCGCUGCUAGACGGAAAGACCCCGUGAACCUUUACUGUAGCUUUGCAUUGGACUUUGAAGUCACUUGUGUAGGAUAGGUGGGAGGCUUGGAAGCAGAGACGCCAGUCUCUGUGGAGUCGUCCUUGAAAUACCACCCUGGUGUCUUUGAGGUUCUAACCCAGACCCGUCAUCCGGGUCGGGGACCGUGCAUGGUAGGCAGUUUGACUGGGGCGGUCUCCUCCCAAAGCGUAACGGAGGAGUUCGAAGGUUACCUAGGUCCGGUCGGAAAUCGGACUGAUAGUGCAAUGGCAAAAGGUAGCUUAACUGCGAGACCGACAAGUCGGGCAGGUGCGAAAGCAGGACAUAGUGAUCCGGUGGUUCUGUAUGGAAGGGCCAUCGCUCAACGGAUAAAAGGUACUCCGGGGAUAACAGGCUGAUUCCGCCCAAGAGUUCAUAUCGACGGCGGAGUUUGGCACCUCGAUGUCGGCUCAUCACAUCCUGGGGCUGUAGUCGGUCCCAAGGGUAUGGCUGUUCGCCAUUUAAAGUGGUACGUGAGCUGGGUUUAAAACGUCGUGAGACAGUUUGGUCCCUAUCUGCAGUGGGCGUUGGAAGUUUGACGGGGGCUGCUCCUAGUACGAGAGGACCGGAGUGGACGAACCUCUGGUGUACCGGUUGUAACGCCAGUUGCAUAGCCGGGUAGCUAAGUUCGGAAGAGAUAAGCGCUGAAAGCAUCUAAGCGCGAAACUCGCCUGAAGAUGAGACUUCCCUUGCGGUUUAACCGCACUAAAGGGUCGUUCGAGACCAGGACGUUGAUAGGUGGGGUGUGGAAGCGCGGUAACGCGUGAAGCUAACCCAUACUAAUUGCCCGUGAGGCUUGACU
This 2880-nucleotide ribosomal RNA is filed under the name Neisseria gonorrhoeae. RNAcentral describes it as "bacterial LSU rRNA". It matches the Rfam family "Bacterial large subunit ribosomal RNA". Lineage: Bacteria; Pseudomonadati; Pseudomonadota; Betaproteobacteria; Neisseriales; Neisseriaceae. The record is from RNAcentral.